GAUGAACGCUGGCGGCGUGCCUAAUACAUGCAAGUCGAGCGAACAGACGAGGAGCUUGCUCCUCUGACGUUAGCGGCGGACGGGUGAGUAACACGUGGAUAACCUGUCUAUAAGACUGGGAUAACUUCGGGAAACCGGAGCUAAUACCGGAUAAUAUAUUGAACCGCAUGGUUCAAUAGUGAAAGACGGUUUUGCUGUCACUUAUAGAUGGAUCCGCGCCGCAUUAGCUAGUUGGUAAGGUAACGGCUUACCAAGGCAACGAUGCGUAGCCGACCUGAGAGGGUGAUCGGCCACACUGGAACUGAGACACGGUCCAGACUCCUACGGGAGGCAGCAGUAGGGAAUCUUCCGCAAUGGGCGAAAGCCUGACGGAGCAACGCCGCGUGAGUGAUGAAGGUCUUCGGAUCGUAAAACUCUGUUAUUAGGGAAGAACAAAUGUGUAAGUAACUAUGCACGUCUUGACGGUACCUAAUCAGAAAGCCACGGCUAACUACGUG
RNAcentral lists this ribosomal RNA (497 nucleotides) under uncultured bacterium. RNAcentral describes it as "partial 16S ribosomal RNA". It matches the Rfam family "Bacterial small subunit ribosomal RNA", at positions 28 to 507 of the family's 1533-position model. The record is from RNAcentral.